Long non-coding RNA from Vespa velutina, 1567 nucleotides. RefSeq lists it as uncharacterized. Lineage: Eukaryota; Metazoa; Arthropoda; Insecta; Hymenoptera; Vespidae. The record is from RefSeq and is a predicted model, not a curated record. The transcript is spliced from 3 exons.
AACCGAUGAACAACGUCAUUCCGGAAGGUCUUACUCCGAACGACAGGCGCGGAGGUGUGUCCGCAGGGCGAUUCAAACAAGGCGAUACGCCGGAGAGAUUCUGUUAUCACCUUCUAAGCAACGCACGCUCCCAUUGUUCGUUCGACGAUAUUUCUCUUCCUCUUCGGAGUGGCCAGUAUGCAUACAUAUAAGAGAUCACGUACAUACGUACCAAGAGAACAGAUCCGAUAAUGUUUUUCCGAGAGCAGCUGCGUCUUUUCCGUUGAGCAAGAGCGCCACGGCGGGACGAAAAACGCGCUGGAAGAAGAGACAUACAAAGGAACGGAUGCGAAAGAGUUCAUGGCGGAGGCUUCAGAAAUGAAUCUGAAGAGGGUUCGAGGAGAACGGUAAGGCGAUGCAAGAUUGCAACACUCUUCUGGGAGCGCUCGCUGGGCCAUCCACGUGGAUCUCUUCGAAUUUUUAGAGGCUAUCGAAAAGUUGAUUGGAUAGGAAAAAAAAGAGGAGCUUUUGGCGAUCGAUUUUCAAGUGAAACGCGAUGGAACGAACGAAAUCUUCGGUCAACGUCCUAUUAUCGAUCUACAAUGCAAAUAUCUAACGACGUUGGCGUUAAACGUAGUAUCAUGGCAAGACUUCGAACAGAUUCUCUCUCUUUUUCUCUCUCUCUCUCUCUCUCUCUCUCUCUCUCUCCCUCUUUCUCUCAUUCCAAUAAAAAACUAUUUUUCCUUCUUGUUUUACUUCAAGUUCCGUAACAACUUUUUUGUAUGUGAGAAUCUAACUAUUGGAGAAAGUGAAUUGAAGAGAAAUCUGACAAGACAAUUAAGUCAAAAGUAUUUGGCGAGAAGAAAAGUCAUUCUUUUCUCAGUAAUUCAUCAUAGCAUAGUAUAUAAGUAUUUCCAGUUAUUCACUUAGAUUCAUUUAUCAGAUAUACGUGAAUACCAAUACUUUCAUAUUUUCUAUGAAUGAUGUAUAUAUCUAGCGAUCGAAAGCUUUUAUUUCUUCGUAUUGAAUAACGAUGAAGAGACAUUCUUUGGUAACAUAUUCUGACGAAUGUAUCCGAUUGUCCGAUUAGCCUACCACUUCUUCGAGCUAUUUUUAUAUUUUCGUUGUUCUUUGCCAAAGUUCUGAAAAAAAGAGAAAGAAAAAGAAGAAAAAGAAGAGGAACCUUCGGUGUCCCUCGAAGGGCUUCAUGUGACAUUCCAAACGUCCUCGUGCCUCUUGAGAGAAAAGGCGCGGAGGCCAACGCCCAAUUUGCAACCUACGGGACGCCGGAACGGAAUUGAAAUAGUCCAGUGGGAGUGGGCGUCCCUCUUCCACAAGACUAGUCCUAGAACGGACAAUUGUUUCGCCACUCCUAAACGAACGAAGCACACAUACGCGGGAGGUUAACGACACCCGGCCUGUCGAAACACUCGACUGAAUAUCAUUUCGUUGGCCGCGGGAGCCAACGCAACGUUACGAACCUUUUUUUCUUAUAUACACCUCAACUCUUUUCUUUGUCCAUCUACAUCACGUCAUUAUCGUCAUCGACUUUGUCGUCGUUAUCGUCAUGGGCAAAUACCAAUUUAUC